This 579-nucleotide long non-coding RNA is filed under the name Phasianus colchicus (ring-necked pheasant). Its description in RNAcentral is "lncRNA (ENSPCLG00000007156.1)". Lineage: Eukaryota; Metazoa; Chordata; Aves; Galliformes; Phasianidae. The record is from RNAcentral.
AUGUGCUCUGCUGCUUCUUGCUAUGUAUGGGGAAUUUUCUCAAGAUCUUCAGAUCAGUCUUCUCUGACCACAAAGGCCAGAUUCUCAUUCUUCCACUUUCUGCUUUUGAGAAAAGAUAAUAGUUUUUUGUUGACUUUUUUUUUUCUUCAUCUUUUCUUUUGGUUUUCUGGCAGCCUCACGUGGGCCCAGCACUGGAAGCAGGAGCUCAGAAUUGCACACUACAGCCUCCUUUCUUCAGCACUGCUGUGGCCAGUGCCAUGUGUUCCCAGGAUCCUUGCAGAUCUUAGUGUCACUCUAAUGAAAGCCGUAGAAGACGUAAACACACACGAGCUUGCUUACCUAGGAAAUCAAAAGAUAAUGGACAUUUACAGCCAACAAUCAAAACCAUAACCAAUUUGGCAGAGGAGCAUUUUAUACAACCAGUGAUUUUGAAGGCUCCUACAGUGUACAGUAACAUCUUAAAAAAGAAAAGAAACAAAGUGGAUGUAUUCAUUUCUGGACAAACAGAGCUGACAAGUUAAAGAAUAUAUGAAUGUCUUAAGCUGAGACCAAAGUGCUUCAUUUAUAAUGGAGAUUACG